This is a non-coding RNA of Monodelphis domestica (gray short-tailed opossum), 1570 nucleotides long. Lineage: Eukaryota; Metazoa; Chordata; Mammalia; Didelphimorphia; Didelphidae. The record is from RefSeq and is a predicted model, not a curated record.
UCAAAUAUGGCUUCAGACACUUCCCAGCUGUGUGACCCUGGGCAAGUCACUUGACCCCCAUUGCCUAGCCCUUACCACUCUUCUGCCUUGGAGCCAAUACACAGCAUUAACUCCAAGACGGAAGGUAAGGGUUUAAAAAAAAUGUAGCUCAAAUGUAUUUUUGCAUCUUUGAAAUUGCAUUAAGAAAAGUAAAAUAUUCUAAGGCUGGUUACGGAUGCCAAAAUGUCUAGAACAAUGUUGAUAACAGCCAACCAGACAUCCUACCAAUUGGGAACAUGUCAGUUCUCAGAUUUGUGACUAAAAACAUAACUGACUAAAGCAAUAGUCUCAAAUCCAGGUAUCAUCAGAAGUUAGGGGAUCAAAGCACUGGGUUUCUUCAUUGUAUUAUAGUGUUCCCAAUAAUUUGAGUUAAAGUGGCAGGAUUCUCAGGGCCCUAUCCCUCCCCAAAUUAAGUAUAUAGAUACCAGUACAGUUUUAUAAAUAUUUUCUAUAAUGGUUAUGAGAUAGUAGUUCUCGGCAUGACAUAGUGUUUAGGUUUUUUCACGAAUAUGUCUGAUAGAAGCCACAGGGGGAAAAAAAAGCGUUCCAAUUCUGUUUUAUGAGUACUGACAAUGAGUUAGGUUCUUGAAAAACAUACGGAUGAAGAAGGAAUAGGGACCUAAUAGCAAUGAUCAUAGGAGCCUUAAGUCCUGGACUCCUACAGCUAGAUACACUGUUGGGCAGCCUAUAUUUAAGUCUUACCGAGCAGUAAUGGUGCUAAAAGGGAACUAAUAGCAAGCCUCCAACUGUGUCUGGAAUCUCUCUCUCCUACAUGUUCAGAUUAGGUUCCUAUAUAUUUUUUCCUUUCAUGCUUAAAGACAGAAAUAGGAAAAUCUAGGAUUGGUUAAAAACUCUCAAUAUAACCAAGAAAAUGUUUCAGUGAAUGUAGUGCACAUUCUCACCCAUCCUCCCCCAGGUAGCCUCCUGAAUGGCACUGAUAGGCCAUGGAAGAUAUCUGGUUAUAUAUACAGCAAUAGAGUCCCUGCUGGUCAAAGCUAGUGAAGCUGUUCUUUUAGCUCAGUGCCAUGGAAUUCAUAGUACAGAGUACAAGGGAAGUUGGAGAACAGAGAUCUACUCCCACCAAGUGCUUUUCACUUUGAAAUGUUUUCACAAUCAAUGACGGCUAUCCAUGCUGAGAAGAGUGUGGAGCAGCCGAGUUGUAUAUGUAGUCCUUGUGUAGAAAAUAAACAUAGUUUAUACAGCAUGUUGCUAUUCUCUAUUUUAGAACCAGCAAAGGGACCAUGUGAUGUGACCAUUGCUAUGGUAACUACACUUCAGUAGUGAACAGUGGAGCAAACUGGCACGUAAAACAUGUAUAAGGUGUCUGUGUGUUAACAGAAUGCAUAGAACACCUACUCUGAUGCCUCACUGUGGAAAAAUAUGCCUGGGUCCUGGAACUCUGGGUUACUAGACUCUGCAAGCUGUGGUAGGAGAGAUGAUGAGAAAGACUUUAACUUGGGGCCUAGCACAGAUCUGAACUUCCUAUUCAUAAACUAAAAUAAAUAUGCACAUGGAUACAAGGAGUGGAAAA